GGGGGCGUUUUGGAUUCGACGGAGACAGUUCGAGCGUGAAUGGCGGGUCGUGGGGCCGCGAGGCCACGUAAAAAACGCGGACCUGAAAUUAACUGGCAAAGCAAACCGCUUUACCUCAAACAGCAACCUCGCCCUGGCUGCUUAAUUGUAACCAGGCCGUUGCCUCGUGUGUCGCCCGUGCACACCUGGUAACGUCAACUUAGCGGGAUAGUCGGCGGUAGGUGUUCGCGGACCACCGAUGAAACGCAGCGAACUCACCUGUUGUCGAGCGUGAUUGUCCGCGCGGCACAGGGACAUCCAGUAGGCAAUCUACACCCGUAGAAGUUCACGUGGCGAGGUCUUCGGACGCGGGUUCGACUCCCGUCGCCUCCACCA
Molecule: transfer-messenger RNA, 375 nt
Filed under: Paenalicyclobacillus cycloheptanicus
Lineage: Bacteria; Bacillati; Bacillota; Bacilli; Caryophanales; Alicyclobacillaceae
Description: Alicyclobacillus cycloheptanicus transfer-messenger RNA
Rfam family: transfer-messenger RNA
About the family: Bacterial tmRNA, also known as 10Sa RNA or SsrA, is named for its dual tRNA and mRNA-like properties.
Source: RNAcentral